AAGGCCUUAGCUUAAUUAAAGUGUCUGGGUUGCAGUCAGAAGAUGUGCUAGGAUGGUACAGGUCUUA
Molecule: transfer RNA, 67 nt
Filed under: Homonota fasciata (South American marked gecko)
Lineage: Eukaryota; Metazoa; Chordata; Lepidosauria; Squamata; Phyllodactylidae
Description: tRNA-Ala
Source: RNAcentral